UACGUAGGUGGCAAGCGUUGUCCGGAUUUACUGGGCGUAAAGAGCGCGCAGGCGGUCGUUCAAGUCGCGUGUGAAAGCCCCCGGCUCAACUGGGGAGGGUCACGCGAUACUGAUCGACUCGAAGGCAGGAGAGGGUAGUGGAAUUCCCGGUGUAGUGGUGAAAUGCGUAGAUAUCGGGAGGAACACCGGUGGCGAAGGCGGUUCUCUGGGCCUGUACUGACGCUGAGGAACGAAAGCGUGGGGAGCGAACAGG
This 253-nucleotide ribosomal RNA is filed under the name uncultured bacterium. Its description in RNAcentral is "partial 16S ribosomal RNA". It matches the Rfam family "Bacterial small subunit ribosomal RNA", at positions 524 to 776 of the family's 1533-position model. The record is from RNAcentral.